RNAcentral lists this non-coding RNA (889 nucleotides) under Hemitaurichthys polylepis. RNAcentral's name for it is "partial 12S ribosomal RNA". It matches the Rfam family "Bacterial small subunit ribosomal RNA". Lineage: Eukaryota; Metazoa; Chordata; Actinopteri; Chaetodontiformes; Chaetodontidae. The record is from RNAcentral.
ACUAACGACUCUAGCUAAAUUUACACAUGCAAGUAUCCGCGCCCCGGUGAGAAUGCCCUUCACUCCCUGCUUGGGAGUAAGGAGCUGGUAUCAGGCACCCUUAAAUGAAGCCCAUGACGCCUUGCUUAGGCCACACCCUCACGGGAACCCAGCAGUGAUAAACAUUAAGCCAUGAGUGAAAACUUGACUUAGUUAAUGCUAUUUUAGGGCCGGUAAAAACUCGUGCCAGCCACCGCGGUUAAACGAGGGACCCAAGUCGUUAGUCAUCGGCGUAAAGAGUGGUUAAGAUAAGACAAAACUAAAGCCGAAUGCUCUCCAGACUGUCAUACGCCCCCGAGGAGUAAGAAGCUCAACUACGAAAGUGGCUUUACCCAAUCUGAACCCACGAAAGCUAGGGUACAAACUGGGAUUAGAUACCCCACUAUGCCUAGCCCUAAACAUCGACAGUAAACUACGCCCACUGUCCGCCUGGGAACUACGAGCGCUAGCUUAAAACCCAAAGGACUUGGCGGUGCUUUAGACCCACCUAGAGGAGCCUGUCCUAGAACCGAUAAUCCCCGUUCAACCUCACCCUUCCUUGUUUUAUCCGCCUAUAUACCGCCGUCGUCAGCUUACCCUGUGAAGGCUCAAAAGUAAGCGAAAUCGGUACAGCCCCAAACGUCAGGUCGAGGUGUAGCGUAUGGAAGGGGAAGAGAUGGGCUACAUUCACUGACACAGUGAAAUACGAAUGAUUGCUCUGAAACGAGAAUCUGAAGGAGGAUUUAGCAGUAAGCAAAAAGUAGAGUGUUUUGCUGAAGUUGGCCCUGAAGCGUGCACACACCGCCCGUCACUCUCCCCUAUUCAACUUGGAAUAAUAACUUAUAUACCCUACAGAAACUGCGGGGAGACA